UGCUAUUUUGACUCCUCUUUCCCNAUCUUGACUGAUCUCAGAAACAAAGUAAGAUCAGGCUUGGUUAGUACUUUCAUGGGAGACUGCUUGGGCAUAUCAAGAUAAUGUAGACU
Molecule: ribosomal RNA, 113 nt
Filed under: Salvator merianae (Argentine black and white tegu)
Lineage: Eukaryota; Metazoa; Chordata; Lepidosauria; Squamata; Teiidae
Source: RNAcentral